CUUUGCAAAGCCACCAACGCCUCUUCACAAGCCUCCUCCAAUAGAGAAGCCACCCAGUCCAGUUUAUAGUCCACCGGAGAAAGAGAAACCACCACCAACUCCUGUGUACUCACCACCCAAGGGGGAGAAAUCACCACCGAAGUACAAGCCACCAACUCCUGUUUACACUCCCCCCAAGGUGGAGAAACCACCACCACCCAAGGGCGAAAAACCACCAAGUCCUGUGUACACACCACCCAAGGGGGAGAAACCACCACCCAAGCACAAGGCAAGUCCUCCAUACGGUCACCCUCCAUACUACAAGCCUCCACCCCACGGCCACCCCAACAAAGUGACUUGUACUAGGUUACUUGACAUGGGUAAUCAUAGAUAGAAUAAGAGGUACUGCCUUUGGUUUCUUACUAGUUGCUACUUACGAUAGCUAGUGUGGAGAAAUGUUGCAUUUGUAUGGGAUGAUGGAGCUGAGAACUGUCAUCUGCAGGUAAUGUAAACCAAUGGUACACAGUUUUUAUAUGAAAUCUGCAUUCUUAUAUCUUCUGUGUUGUUCUACUUCUUCCGUCAUUCUAUCAAAUUAGUAAGAGUGUCAAUGUAAGACGUACCAUUUCCUUUCUGGUCAAGAAUUA
Macadamia integrifolia is the source of this 623-nucleotide long non-coding RNA. RefSeq lists it as uncharacterized. The record is from RefSeq and is a predicted model, not a curated record. Lineage: Eukaryota; Viridiplantae; Streptophyta; Magnoliopsida; Proteales; Proteaceae. The transcript is spliced from 2 exons.